GCAUACAAUAAGCGGAGGAAAAGAAACCAACAGGGAUUGCCUCAGUAACGGCGAAGUGAAGCGGCAACAGCUCAAAUUUGAAAUCUGGUCCCCUCUGGGGGCCCGAGUUGUAAUUUGAAGAGGAUGCUUUUGGCGAGGCGCCUUCCGAGUGCCCUGGAACGGGACGCCACAGAGGGUGAGAGCCCCGUAUGGUAGGACGCCGAGCCUCUGUAAAGCUCCUUCGACGAGUCGAGUAGUUUGGGAAUGCUGCUCAAAAUGGGAGGUAAACCCCUUCUAAAGCUAAAUAUUGGCCAGAGACCGAUAGCGCACAAGUAGAGUGAUCGAAAGAUGAAAAGCACUUUGAAAAGAGAGUUAAACAGCACGUGAAAUUGUUGAAAGGGAAGCGCUUGCGACCAGACUUGCGCCCGUCGGAUCAACCGUCCCUCGUGGGCGGCGCACUCCGGCGGGCUCAGGCCAGCAUCAGUUUUCCUGGGGGGAGAAAGGCGGUGGGAAUGUAGCUCUUCGGAGUGUUAUAGCCCGCCGCGUAAUGCCCUCGGGGGGACUGAGGACCGCGCGUAUGCAAGGAUGCUGGCGUAAUGGUCGUCAGCGACCCGUCUUGAAACACGGACCAAGGAGUCGUCCUAAUAUGCGAGUGUACGGGUGUAAAACCCCUGCGCGUAAUGAAAGUGAACGGAGGUGAGAGCUUCGGCGCAUCAUCGACCGAUCCUGAUGUUCUCGGAUGGAUUUGAGUAAGAGCAUAUUGGGCCGGACCCGAAAGAAGGUGAACUAUGCCUGUAUAGGGUGAAGCCAGAGGAAACUUCUGGUGGAGGCUCGCAGCGGUUUCUGACGUGCAAAUCGAUCGUCAAAUAAUGGGCAUGGGGGCGAAAGACUAAUCGAACCUUCUAGUAGCUGGUUUCCGC
Molecule: ribosomal RNA, 899 nt
Filed under: Cephalotrichum asperulum
Lineage: Eukaryota; Fungi; Ascomycota; Sordariomycetes; Microascales; Microascaceae
Description: LSU rRNA
Rfam family: Eukaryotic large subunit ribosomal RNA
Source: RNAcentral